UAUCAUCUAAAACUGCUGCUGAAAACCCAACAAAGGUUUUGCAUUUAAAAAGUAUAAACCAUGUCACUUUGGGAUAGAAGUGAUCAAAUCACUACCCAUAAAAAUUUUUAUGUGUCAUUGACCUAAUUUUAUGUCAAACUCCAUGUCAUCCAACAUUCCUAGAGACACAAGGUUUCUUUCUAAUUCAGGAACAAAAUAUGGCCCCCUUUAACAAUAAAAUUCUACCAUUUUCUAAGAGCAGUUUUUUGGUUCAAUACCUUUCACUUUGCAGGUCAUGUUGUUUCCCAUGAUAACUUUGCCCCCUUUAGUUUGUUCAAUGUCCAAAAAAUGGUUUUUAUUAUAACACAUGUGGAAAGAACAACCCGAAUCAAAAAUUCAUUCUUGAUUUAGGUUCCUUUCAACAUUUACAAGAACAAGGCCGUUAUCAAAUUUUUGCUUAUCAUAGGACAAAAAAGCAUUACCCUCAUUUAAUUUCUUUCCUUUCAAAUCAUUUUGCUUCUUGUAGCAAUCUUGUGCAAACUGACCCAACUUACCAUAGUAAUAACAUUUCUUUCCAUUUGCCUUAGUUUUUUUAUCUCAUUUUGUCAUUGUUUCUUUUCUUAUGGUCAUUUUGAAAUUUUGAAUGAAAAUUAGAUUUACCAACAUUUUUGCCUUUUAUCAAAAGAUUUUCUCCCCUUUGUUGGUUGAUAGAAUCUGAUUUUAAUUCAAAAAUUCUAUUUCUUAAGGCAUUUAUAAUGGUUUCUAUGGUAAGCUUGUCUCUUCCAUAUUCUAAGGCAUUUUUAAGGUCUUUAUGCCUAUCACUAAUGGAGUUUAACAAUACCACAACCAGCUGAUCUUCUGAUAAUUUCUCAUCACAGUUGGCAAAGUCCUAUGUCAAUUUUGUAAAUCUAUCCAAGUUCUCAUCUAAGUCCACAGAAGGAUCCAUUUUGAAAGAAAAGAAUUGUUUUAAUAAAAAAAAUUUGUUUGGAACAAUUUUUGGCUCAUAUUUGGCUUUCAAUUUAGUCCACAACUCUUCAGCAAUUUUAGUUUCACCUAUAGACCUGAUCACAUUGUCUAAAAGGUACAAGAAAAUAGUACUCAGUGCUAUUUCUUCUAAAUCAAUUCUUUUUGUAACAGACAUUUCAGCAGGCCAAGAAUUAUCUAAGGCUUUAUCACAUUUCAUUUGCAUCAAGAUAGCCCUCAUUUUCUGGCUCCACAUAUUAAAGUCCCCCCUCCCAUCACACAAGGUCACUUCAAACUUAGCAGUAGACAUGACAAGAUUCACCAAGAUAGUUCACUGAACACAAGUUUGAGUUCAAGAACACACAUGGACAUAUAACAAGAAUACUGCAGGCAGUCAGGGGAUUGGGGAUUGAUGACCAAUGCACUUAUUUCAAGUUUUCACAAAACAGUAAACACUUAACACUAAGUAUAGAAGGCAGAAUCACAAAGAACAGAGAUAGCAAUCCUAUGCCUCAACUAACUUCUCCAGCAAGACCUUCCAAUUGCACUCCUACUAGUGUUGUUAUCUCAGAUUCCCAAGACUUCUUGAGCCUUUGGACAAAGACCAACCACAGUAGGUUUUGUUAGUGCAAGGUAAAUCAAGGGAAAAAUUAGGAGACUUUACUGUAAGGAUUAAUUACAGAAUGCAUGAAAGAUCUCACCAAUGAGUUUGAUAAAACUCAAUUUCCACCGGCCAAUGUGUACUGCAGGUUUCAGGAAUCAGGUUUAAUCAAGAAAUCACAAGGCUCCAGUAGUCCAGGUUGCUCUGGUACCACUAAAAAGUCGAAGGAUAAGAAUAUUAACCAAGAUUCCAAAAACACGAUCAAAAAUGAAAAUAAAGUGCAGGAAAUAAGAAUGAACACAAGGAUCUUUUGGCCGAAGCCCCAAAGAUUCGACGACCACUUCUAAUGCCUAAUCCCCUGUUGAGCAUCUAUUAAAAUGGAUAAAGCUCGGCUGCACUAUAAAGCCCCAAAAAUAAGCAGCAAAUAUACAAUAAUGUUCCAAAAUUAUUACAAGUAUCAAGUCACUAAGACUUAUCUUAUGAGAAUCAACACGACAGACACAAUUUCACAAAGAAAUCACUGACCAGAUUACACAACUAUUACAUCACAGUUUCUGCCAUCAAAGAAUCACCCAUCUUUUAAGAGAAAACACAAAAAUAAAUGGUAUUCCACCAAGGAACCAACCGAGAUCACCAAGAUCUAAAAAUCGAACUGCUCUUCUUUAAAAUCACUUCGCAUAAGACACAUAACACAGAAUAAAUCGUGCUCCAUGGAGGAAUGUAUGUAUCUAUAGCAUUACUCAAGUUUUCUGGUAAUAUUUUCAACAAAAAUCCUUCAAGAACCCAAACCCUAAUCACUAGAAGAAGAGGGAUUUUCUUUCGUAGCAGAGAAGUGAGAGAAGAGAGAGAGACUUUUUCUUUUCUUGAAAGUGAGACGUGAGAGAGAGAAAGUUAAUUGCUGGAAGAAAAGUCUUGCCUCAAUUAAUGUGUAUCUUUCAAAUAUCACGUGGUUAGGUAUAAGAAUCUAGAAUAGAUCCAAUG
Molecule: long non-coding RNA, 2524 nt
Filed under: Olea europaea subsp. europaea
Lineage: Eukaryota; Viridiplantae; Streptophyta; Magnoliopsida; Lamiales; Oleaceae
Source: RNAcentral